Molecule: small nuclear RNA, 106 nt
Organism: Sorex araneus (European shrew)
Lineage: Eukaryota; Metazoa; Chordata; Mammalia; Eulipotyphla; Soricidae
Source: RefSeq, a predicted model, not a curated record
GUGCUUACUUCGACAACAGAUAUACUAAAAUUGAAAUAAAAAGAGAAAAUUAGCAUUGUCCCUGCACAAAAAUGUCACACAAAUUUGCAAAACAUUACAUAUCUUU